GGGGGCGACUUUGGUUUCGACUGUUGUAAGCAGAUUUAUAGUGGCAUGUAGGGGUGAGAGUCCUCUUAAAAACUUUCAAAACAGUAAACGCAAACAACGAAUACGCUUUAGCAGCUUAAUAUAAGCUCUAACGGGAAUCAGCUUUACCCACCCGGUGGGCUGAGGACUGUCACUAAACGGGUGGCUGAACUCUCCGGUUCUUGGCUUAGGAGUGAACAGUACAAAAGCCAGUAGACUUUGAACUCCCGGUUAUGGGUAAAACAAAGUUGAAUAUUCAUACAUAACCUAAACAUGUAGAGGCUGUAGUGAAGCGCAAUAGGACGCGGGUUCGAUUCCCGCCGUCUCCAUUU
This 350-nucleotide transfer-messenger RNA is filed under the name Leptospiraceae. RNAcentral describes it as "JACKPB01 sp024233875 Standard tmRNA". It matches the Rfam family "transfer-messenger RNA". Rfam says of the family: Bacterial tmRNA, also known as 10Sa RNA or SsrA, is named for its dual tRNA and mRNA-like properties. Its role is to liberate the mRNA from a stalled ribosome. Lineage: Bacteria; Pseudomonadati; Spirochaetota; Leptospiria; Leptospirales. The record is from RNAcentral. RNAcentral also lists the same sequence under 1 other name.